RNA transcript from Hordeum vulgare subsp. vulgare (domesticated barley), 1021 nucleotides. RefSeq lists it as uncharacterized. NCBI's taxonomy places the organism in Eukaryota, Viridiplantae, Streptophyta, Magnoliopsida, Poales, Poaceae. The record is from RefSeq and is a predicted model, not a curated record. The transcript is spliced from 4 exons.
CCGUUUGUACGCCUGCGGUGGUCUCUGAUCUCAGUUCCGCGAAAAUGGCGGUGGAAAUUUCGGGCCCGUCUGGUGCCAGAUGCGGCGUGGUCCGCGGAACCGGAGCAGGUCUCUGUGUGUUCGUUGGCGUGCGUUGAAUGCGAGAGCAGAGAUGGGAAGGGAUGAGCAAGCCUGCACUUCUCCACGACCUGCGUUAGCGAGCAUCACAACCAGGGGUGGUGCAGAAACAGAGAUAGUUAGCUGAGUUAGAAACAAGAGAUAGUUAACAGGUUAUGGUUGAGGACCGGUGUUAGUCUGUUAGUAUUUGGGAACUAUGAUCCAUGGAUUAUUUUGUUCAUAAAUCGGUUCCAUGUACGAAUGAAAUAUUUAUGAUUUUGAAUUGCUGGAAAGCUUUAUGAAUGUGUAUGUUAUAUAUUUUGAGCAGUGAACAUACUGUACUUAUAUAGAAAUAAUAGUUUUCAGUUUUCUCUGUAACAUGCAUGCAUAUUCUGGCAUGUUUUCCAGGUGGCCCAUUGCUUCUGAUGCAUUUUUCUUCAAACUGUAGAUCGAUACUGAUUUGUUUAACCUGGUAUUCAUUUGAAUGCAGCAACAGUGGCAUAAUAGCCAUGCGUUGUUUUGUGCCUGAUGUCCUCGCUCUAUCCCUGCAAUCAGUGCUGGCGGUCCAUCCGGCCACCUCCUCCGAAUAACAUGAAGUGCGGGUGUGAUUCCAUGUUCUUCUUCUGUACAUUUUCAGUAGGCAACAAAAGACGGCAAUGGCAAGAGCAUAUUGUGCAGAGAAAGAGGAUGAGAAGAAACUUGGGGUUCUCAUCCAAUCUUUGUGGAACUCUCUUUAUGUGCGAUUGUGCACUUGUUGGGUCCUUUUUCUGUGUACUUGUACUUAUAGUAGUAUUCUAUUGUGCACAUGUAAAAUUAUUUUGAUGUGUCCUUGUUAGGCGUUGAACCUUAAUGCGUGGAGUCGAUGGAUGAUGUAUUGUAUUUAAUGAGAUAUGUUACUGAAAUGAAAUAGACAUUUUAUUUGCAA